GGCCGCGGGAUUAGAGUUUGAUCAUGGCUCAGAUUGAACGCUGGCGGCAGGCCUAACACAAGCAAGUCGAGCGGUAACAUGUCUAGCUUGCUAGAUGAUGACGAGCGGCGGACGGGUGAGUAAUGCUUGGGGAUCUGCCUUAGAGUGGAGGAUAACCAUUGGAAACGAUGGCUAAUACUGCAUAGUAUCUGCGGAUUAAAGGGGGCUUAGGCUCUUGCUUUAAGAUGAACCCAAGUGGGAUUAGCUAGUUGGUGAGGUAAUGGCUCACCAAGGCGACGAUCCCUAGCUGGUCUGAGAGGAUGAUCAGCCACACUGGAACCGAGACACGGUCCAGACUCCUACGGGAGGCAGCAGUGGGGAAUAUUGCACAAUGGGCGAAAGCCUGAUGCAGCCAUGCCGCGUGUGUGAAGAAGGCCCUAGGGUUGUAAAGCACUUUCAGUCAGGGGGAAAGGUUAGUAGUUAAUACCUGCUAGCUGUGACGUUACUGACAGAAGAAGCACCGGCUAACUUCGUGCCAGCAGCCGCGGUAAUACGAGGGGUGCAAGCGUUAAUCGGAAUUACUGGGCGUAAAGCGAGCGUAGGCGGCUGAAUAAGCUGGAUGUGAAAAACCGGGGCUCAACCUCGGCCGUGCAUUCAGAACUGUUUAGCUAGAGUCCUGUAGAGGGGGGUAGAAUUUCA
This 678-nucleotide ribosomal RNA is filed under the name uncultured Vibrionaceae bacterium. RNAcentral describes it as "bacterial SSU rRNA". It matches the Rfam family "Bacterial small subunit ribosomal RNA", at positions 1 to 671 of the family's 1533-position model. Lineage: Bacteria; Pseudomonadati; Pseudomonadota; Gammaproteobacteria; Vibrionales; Vibrionaceae. The record is from RNAcentral.